This 502-nucleotide ribosomal RNA is filed under the name uncultured bacterium. RNAcentral describes it as "partial 16S ribosomal RNA". It matches the Rfam family "Bacterial small subunit ribosomal RNA", at positions 30 to 523 of the family's 1533-position model. The record is from RNAcentral.
AUUGAACGCUGGCGGCAGGCUUAACACAUGCAAGUCGAGCGGGGUGAUGGUGCUUGCACUGUCACUUAGCGGCGGACGGGUGAGUAAUGCUUAGGAAUCUGCCUAUUAGUGGGGGACAACAUCUCGAAAGGGAUGCUAAUACCGCAUACGUCCUACGGGAGAAAGCAGGGGAUCACUUGUGACCUUGCGCUAAUAGAUGAGCCUAAGUCGGAUUAGCUAGUUGGUGGGGUAAAGGCCUACCAAGGCGACGAUCUGUAGCGGGUCUGAGAGGAUGAUCCGCCACACUGGGACUGAGACACGGCCCAGACUCCUACGGGAGGCAGCAGUGGGGAAUAUUGGACAAUGGGGGGAACCCUGAUCAGCCAUGCCGCGUGUGUGAAGAAGGCCUUAUGGUUGUAAAGCACUUUAAGCGAGGAGGAGGCUCUUUUGGUUAAUACCCAAGAUGAGUGGACGUUACUCGCAGAAUAAGCACCGGCUAACUCUGUGCCAGCAGCCGCCGUAA